This 737-nucleotide ribosomal RNA is filed under the name Marmoricola sp. Its description in RNAcentral is "bacterial SSU rRNA". It matches the Rfam family "Bacterial small subunit ribosomal RNA", at positions 66 to 817 of the family's 1533-position model. Lineage: Bacteria; Bacillati; Actinomycetota; Actinomycetes; Propionibacteriales; Nocardioidaceae. The record is from RNAcentral.
GCGGUAAGGCUCCUUCGGGAGUACACGAGCGGCGAACGGGUGAGUAACACGUGAGUAACCUGCCCCUCACUCUGGGAUAACCCCCGGAAACGGGAGCUAAUACCGGAUACGACCACUUCGGGCAUCCGACGGUGGUGGAAAGUUCCGGCGGUGAGGGAUGGACUCGCGGCCUAUCAGCUUGUUGGUGAGGUAACGGCUCACCAAGGCUUCGACGGGUAGCCGGCCUGAGAGGGUGACCGGCCACACUGGGACUGAGACACGGCCCAGACUCCUACGGGAGGCAGCAGUGGGGAAUAUUGGACAAUGGGCGAAAGCCUGAUCCAGCAACGCCGCGUGAGGGAUGACGGCCUUCGGGUUGUAAACCUCUUUCAGCAGGGACGAAGCGCAAGUGACGGUACCUGCAGAAGAAGCACCGGCCAACUACGUGCCAGCAGCCGCGGUAAUACGUAGGGUGCGAGCGUUGUCCGGAAUUAUUGGGCGUAAAGGGCUCGUAGGCGGUCUGUCACGUCGGGAGUGAAAACUCGGGGCUUAACCCCGAGCCUGCUUCCGAUACGGGCAGACUAGAGGUAUGCAGGGGAGAACGGAAUUCCUGGUGUAGCGGUGAAAUGCGCAGAUAUCAGGAGGAACACCGGUGGCGAAGGCGGUUCUCUGGGCAUUACCUGACGCUGAGGAGCGAAAGUGUGGGGAGCGAACAGGAUUAGAUACCCUGGUAGUCCACACCGUAAACGUUGGGCGCU